RNAcentral lists this ribosomal RNA (712 nucleotides) under uncultured bacterium. RNAcentral describes it as "bacterial SSU rRNA". It matches the Rfam family "Bacterial small subunit ribosomal RNA", at positions 57 to 771 of the family's 1533-position model. The record is from RNAcentral.
GCAGUCGAGGGGUAUAGGUUUUCGGACCUAGAGACCGGCGCACGGGUGCGUAACGCGUAUGCAAUCUACCUUUUACAGAGGGAUAGCCCAGAGAAAUUUGGAUUAAUACCUCAUAGUAUUAUUGAAUGGCAUCAUUUAAUAAUUAAAGUCACAACGGUAAAAGAUGAGCAUGCGUCCCAUUAGCUAGAUGGUAAGGUAACGGCUUACCAUGGCAACGAUGGGUAGGGGUCCUGAGAGGGAGAUCCCCCACACUGGUACUGAGACACGGACCAGACUCCUACGGGAGGCAGCAGUGAGGAAUAUUGGUCAAUGGGCGCAAGCCUGAACCAGCCAUGCCGCGUGCAGGAUGAAGCAUCUAUGGUGUGUAAACUGCUUUUGUACAAGAAGAAACACUCCUUCGUGAAGGAGCUUGACGGUAUCGUAAGAAUAAGGACCGGCUAACUCCGUGCCAGCAGCCGCGGUAAUACGGAGGGUCCAAGCGUUAUCCGGAAUCAUUGGGUUUAAAGGGUCCGUAGGCGGUUUUGUAAGUCAGUGGUGAAAGCCCAUCGCUCAACGGUGGAACGGCCAUUGAUACUGCAAGACUUGAAUUAUUAGGAAGUAACUAGAAUAUGUAGUGUAGCGGUGAAAUGCUUAGAUAUUACAUGGAAUACCAAUUGCGAAGGCAGGUUACUACUAAUGGAUUGACGCUGAUGGACGAAAGCGUGGGGAGCGA